RNAcentral lists this long non-coding RNA (359 nucleotides) under Sus scrofa (pig). RNAcentral's name for it is "lncRNA (ENSSSCG00050063715.1)". Lineage: Eukaryota; Metazoa; Chordata; Mammalia; Artiodactyla; Suidae. The record is from RNAcentral.
AGAGUGCCUAAGGGGAAGCCUGUCUGAGCAGAGUGAAGAAGGAGAAAAGCCUGUUGGCGUGUGAUGAAUGGUGGAGUGCACUGGUGUCCACAGUUUGCCGAAUGUGGAGAGUCAUCAGGCUUUUUUUCAGUCAGCCAAGAUCCUACCAUUUGAGGUUGCCAGGAUACCUCCAGGCAACAAAGGCUGGGGUUCCUGUUCCAGGCAGCCAGCCUCACAUAUUGCAGGAACUCCCAGAAGAGGGGAUGUGAAUCCUAGAGCUCCCAGCUAUUCUGCUCCUGUUGCCACCAGCUUCCCUGCUGAGGGGUUCAGCAGGCUAUGACAAAAACCAAAAUAGAAAGAUAAAGAACAAACAUUAUAAG